AUGGUCUAACAUCAACGCAAUAGCCUUUGGGGUGAUUUUCAAAAAAGGAAAAAAAAAAUGAAAAGGAAAAAGCCUCGGGUGAUGCAGCCAAUGGAUGAAGUAAAUAGACUUUGGGUGUUUGGGUUAUGAGGUCGACGGGUUUGAGGGGUUCUCUUUGGGUGAUGCAUCUGAAGAAGGAGCUUUGGGCACUAGAAGGAAUUGCUAUGUAUUUGUGUUUUGUUUGGCAAGAAAGAAAAUUG
This 239-nucleotide unclassified non-coding RNA is filed under the name Hevea brasiliensis (rubber tree). The record is from RNAcentral. Lineage: Eukaryota; Viridiplantae; Streptophyta; Magnoliopsida; Malpighiales; Euphorbiaceae.